GAUGAACGCUGGCGGCGUGCCUAACACAUGCAAGUCGAACGGAGUCGUUUUGGAAAUCUCUUCGGAGAUGGAAUUCUCGACUUAGUGGCGGACGGGUGAGUAACGCGUGAGCAAUCUGCCUUUAAGAGGGGGAUAACAGUCGGAAACGGCUGCUAAUACCGCAUAAAGCAUUAAAUUCGCAUGUUUUUGAUGCCAAAGGAGCAAUCCGCUUUUAGAUGAGCUCGCGUCUGAUUAGCUAGUUGGCGGGGUAACGGCCCACCAAGGCGACGAUCAGUAGCCGGACUGAGAGGUUGAACGGCCACAUUGGGACUGAGACACGGCCCAGACUCCUACGGGAGGCAGCAGUGGGGAAUAUUGCGCAAUGGGGGAAACCCUGACGCAGCAACGCCGCGUGAUUGAAGAAGGCCUUCGGGUUGUAAAGAUCUUUAAUCAGGAACGAAACAAAUGACGGUACCUGAAGAAUAAGCUCCGGCUAACUACGU
This 482-nucleotide ribosomal RNA is filed under the name uncultured bacterium. Its description in RNAcentral is "partial 16S ribosomal RNA". It matches the Rfam family "Bacterial small subunit ribosomal RNA", at positions 28 to 506 of the family's 1533-position model. The record is from RNAcentral.